UAGGUCUAAGCAUAUAGAUAUUAAACAUCAUUUUAUUAGAGACCAUGUUAUUAAACCUUUGUUGGCACUUCGGAUCAACUAGCUGAUAUUUUUACUAAACAUUUAUUGGAGGAAAGAUUUUGUGCUCUAAGGAACUACUUGGCAUUGUCUGUCUCUCAACUAACUCGUAGGGUCAAAGUGUAACUUUUUUAAAAAUUCUUGUCAUUACUGUCUUCAUUAAUUACGCCGUCAUUCUUUCCCUCUCUUCCUUUUCUAAUUUCACAUCAGUUGCAGCAAAGUUGAAAAGCCAAUCAACGCGUAGGUCUAACUGACAACUUUUCCUUUUCCACUCAACCGUCAAAUCCCCCUUCCUACUAAGUCCUUAUCACCCCUUUCCCUUUCAUCCUUUCCUCCAAAACAUUUCUCUUCCUGUUCAGAAUCCUCGUCUCUUCCAUGGCCAAAACUCCCAAAAACCCCUCUGCUUACACAAGAAAGAGCACCCGUUCCAAAUCAAUACCCACAUCUGCUCUGCCUGAGCAGGUAUUCCUAGGGUCCGACAGGUCUGAGGAAUGUGCCUCUUAUCAAGGUGCAUAUUCCGAGCACUUUCUGCUUCUUGGUGAAAACGCCGCUGGUAAACGACCUAUGGAUGAAGCCCCUAUCUCCUCUCCCAAGAAACCAAAUUUUUGUUUUUCUGUCUCUCUCGAAUCUGACCUCAAUUUCUGGGACAUCCCAACAUAGAUUUCUUUAUUUACCUCAAAGACAAACCUAUUGCCAAUGGUCGUGUGGUAGAUCUAGAUGGUAUGGACUCCCUCAACUGUAAGGUAAAAGAACUUUUCGUUCAUCAGGAGUGGGACAAAUUUCUCUCUAUCUCUCUGCCUAAUGUGUACGAACCUCUAUUCCGUAUGUUCUAUGCAAAUCUUCGCUCUAGCAAGUCUGAUAGGCUCAAAACCCUUGUCCUUGGCAAAUGCAUUGUUCUUGACUGCAACCUAUUUGAUUCCAUCUUUCUUUGUCGCUGUUCUGGUUUUCCAAUGGUUUUUAAAAAUGUGUGGCCGGAAGAUUUCGAAAUCUCCUUUGAUCAGACCAAACAAAUCAUUGCAUAAAACCUCUCUGCCAACCUUCCACAUCAAUUAGAACCCAGUGAUGAUAUCUUUGAAACUAGAGUUAUUUCUCACAUUGUUGCAACCACUCUCAUUCCCAGAACUGGCUCCUUUUCAACACUCUCUCAAAGGAACACCUUCUUCGUCUACUGCCUUAUCUCUAAGCUCAAAAUCAACGUGUCCUCCUGUGUUAUCAACUUUAUGAUUGAGAGUGUUGAAGACCCCACUAGCCUUACUUAUGGUAUGACUAUCACCCACAUUCUAAAAGCCCACCAAAUUUCUCUUUCAGACUACCCCUUUGUUCCUGUGUCUAAUUGCUACAAUUCCAGGGACUUCUCUAGCAUGGGAUAUGUACUAAUAAAAGGGGUCUGGGUCAAGAAGGGAGAAAAUGAGGCAAAACCCACUCCUGAAGGAAUCAAGCCAUCUUUGGUUACUCCACCUCCGUCUAUUUCCUCAGAUCUCAAUGACAAGCUGCGUUCUGUGGAGUCUCAACUCUCCGACAUCAAGUCGACUGUGGAUGUCAUUCAUGCUAUCUCCAAGGAAACAGGGUCUGAUGUUUCAAAAAUCAGGGUGGAUGUGCAAAGAGUGCGAGAGAAUGCGAUCAAGGCAUUUAAAGAGGUGCAUGACAUGUUAGAUUGAAUGCAGGUUGUUGCCAACACCAGGUUUGGCCAGUUUAAGGACGCUAUCUGCAACACUCUUACAUAUUUUUUGCGUCGUGAAUGAUUGUGGCUUUCAGACAUUUUUAUGUUGUUUUUAACUUUUUGAUUGUGAUUGGGCUUUGCCCGUGGAUGAUCUUUUUGUGGAUUAUGCUUUUGCUGCUCCCACUUUUGCUGAUGUCAAAAAAGGGGAGAAAUAUAUAUGCUGUCUUAGCUAUGCAGGAUUACUCGAUGUGACUUCUAUGUGCCGAUGCUAUGGCAUAGUUAUUAUUAUAUCUGCAGAGGACAAGUUGACUAUUUGUCAAGUCGACUUCAUCAUGUACUUGUAUAUCUGUUAGAUAAUCCUUUACAGGUCCCAGUCGACUGCAUCUAAUGAGGGGGAGAUGUCACACCUCCUUUUUCACUAUACACCCCUACGAAAGGAGCGUAAAGGAGUAUUUCCACUUAAAGGAUAAUCGGAACGAGAUUUGGUUAUUAUUUAUUCAGAGUCGUCACUUGGCAGAUUUAUGGUGUCCCGAGACACUGAUUUGAAUCCCGAACAGAGGAAGAUUAUGACUCCGUUACAGUCUGCGAAUCAGAAAUCCGAGUAAGGAAUUCUAUUAAGCCGGGAGAAGGUGUUAGGCAUUCCAAGAUUCCGUGGUUCUAGCACGGUCGCUUAACUGUUAUAUUUGAUUUUAUCUGAUUUUAAUACAUGCUAACUUAUGUGUCCUUUUAUUUAUAUAACGCUUUUACCAUUAUUUAUUUUAAAAGACUUGCGACGUUGUGAAAACAUAUUUCUGAUCACGUCACCACCAGUGUACACGUGAUCGUCGACACGUUGCGACUUCGUCGAGAUUUGGAUUUGGGGUUUCAUCAAUGCACACCCGAGUUUAGGAAGGUACUUUAAUUAAAACGCGUCUAAAGAUUCUAUCGCACUAUUAUCUUUUGGGAGGAUCGUGAAAUUCGCUAAACACCCUUCCCGAUUCUCUUAGUAUUUUUAAAACUUUAUUAAGGGCCCCACAAUUUGUAUUUUUGUUGGCGAGGCUCGUCUCAUUUUAUUUUAAAAGAAAACCGAAAAGCAACUAUGGUUUUUUAUUUUUAUUUAUCUUUAAUAAAGAAAAGAAGCCCUAAAUAAUGAGGGUUGCCUACGUAUCUCACCGCCUAUGAGAAUCAGACGAUGCACAGUUCGGGCAGAUUAACCAAACCAUUUAAAACAUGACUUUUUUUCAUUUUCUCUUUUGGAAUUCCAUAAGCAAAUAAUAAAAUUAAAAAAAACUACUUUUAGAACAAGACACUUUUUCUUUUCUUCUUUUUCAACAAUAAAACAACCUAUUUUUCCAACAUCCUAUUUUUCAAAUUAAAAUAAAAGACUCUUUAUUUCCCCAGUAAGAUAACCUAUUUUUCCGGACUAAAAAUAAAAAGCUCUUCUUUUUCCUUCUUUUUCAUCAAAUAAUAAAACAAAUAAACUAUUUUGAAAUAACAAUCAAAACUCUUUUUUUUUCUUUUCAUUUUUCAUGGUAAACAAACUAUAUUUCCUUUUCCUAUUUUUGAAAACAAGACAAAAUAACGACUCUUUUUUCUUUCAAAUUUUUCAUGGCAAAACAAAUUAUUUUUCCUUUUAUAUUUUUGAACACAAAAAAAAAAUAACGAUUUUUUUCAUUUUCAACAACCUAUUUUUCUCAAUUAAAAAUAAAAACUCUUUUUUUUUCAUUUUUUAGUAACACAACCUAUUUCCGAAAAAGAAUAACGUCUCUGUUUUCUUUUUCAAUAAAACACCCUAUAUUUUCAUUGGCAAAUAAACUAUUUUGAAACAAUAAGAACAAAAAUCAAGACUUUUUUUCUUUUCUCAUGACAAAACAAACUAUUCUUCAUUUUCUGUUUUUUGCAAACAGGACAAACUAAAAAAAAAAAUGACGGGCUCUAUUUGAAUAUAACAACUAUAUAAACAUUUUUAUAUUUUUUCAAAAUUUUGGCAGAGUUUCGACAUUACUUGGACAUCGAUUUUUCCAAAACAAUCAAUUAAUUCCCUAACCGCUAUUUUUCUCUUUUUCUUUUCCUCAAUUUCACAAAAUUUCCGAGAUUCAAAAGACAGUCAGCAUCCGGGUUCGAACAAAUAAAUGCACAGAAUAAGUAGGAUGCACCAGGAUGGUCUUUUUAGUUGAGGUAGCUAGCCUUAGACGGAUCAAAGCCCUGUGUUGAGUCCCCUAAGUCAGAUGCAGCAUGAUGCAAAUAAGCGUUCGUACUAAGGAUCCGGCAUGAAGUCAAGUUAUUCUAUGUUCAAAACCUGGUUCGAUGUUCUAGACUGUGUACCCGAGCGGACAACCCGAGUCGAGGAGAGGGCAACUUACCAGGAACCAAAAGUCCAUCCGACAUCGUGACUUAUCUGAGCCACUUUCUUAUUUCAGGGUAUAAAACUAGCAGAAUAGGGAGUCUCAACCAGUAAGCACAUCCCCGGAGGUAAAGAGAGGAGGGUGUCGGCACAAUUUAUAUACGGUUCAGAUAAUAUUAAAGCGGCAACAUUUAGCACAUUCAUCAUGAAACAUGUGGGAAAAUGAGGUCAAAUACAACAAUUUUUCUAAGCUCGAGUUCUUAACCCUGAACAAAAUAUUCUGGGUUCUCAUCCCCAGCAGAGUCGCCAGAGUUGUCACACCUCCUUUUUCACUAUACACCCCUGCGAAAAGGGCGUAAAUGAGUAUUUCCACUUAAAAGACAAUCGAACGGGAUUUGGUUAUUAUUUAUUCAGAGUCGCCACUUGAGAGAUUUAUGGUAUCCCAAGUCACUGAUUUGAAUCCCGAACCGAGGAAGAUUAUGACUCUGUUACAGUCUGCGAACCAGAAAUCCGAGUAA
RNAcentral lists this long non-coding RNA (4558 nucleotides) under Nicotiana benthamiana. RNAcentral's name for it is "long non-coding RNA (NBEN_LNC017507)". Lineage: Eukaryota; Viridiplantae; Streptophyta; Magnoliopsida; Solanales; Solanaceae. The record is from RNAcentral.